RNAcentral lists this ribosomal RNA (428 nucleotides) under uncultured bacterium. RNAcentral describes it as "bacterial SSU rRNA". It matches the Rfam family "Bacterial small subunit ribosomal RNA", at positions 355 to 776 of the family's 1533-position model. The record is from RNAcentral.
UUAGGAAUAUUCGUCAAUGGGGGAAACCCUGAACGAGCAAUGCCGCGUGAGUGAUGAAGGUCUUUGGAUUGUAAAACUCUGUUGUAUGGAAAAAACGAUUAGGUUAGGAAAUGAACUUAAUGUGAUGGUACCAUACCAGAAAGCCCCGGCUAACUACGUGCCAGCAGCCGCGGUAAUACGUAGGGGGCGAGCGUUAUCCGGAUUUAUUGGGCGUAAAGCGUGCGUAGGCGGCUUGUUAAGUUUAAGAUAAAAGCCCGGGGCUCAACUCCGGUUCGUCUUAAAAACUGGCAGGCUUGAGUGUGGUAGAGGUAAACGGAAUUUCUAGUGUAGCGGUGAAAUGCGUAGAUAUUAGAAGGAACACCAGUGGCGAAGGCGGUUUACUGGGCCAUAACUGACGCUGAGGCACGAAAGCGUGGGUAGCAAAUAGG